This 495-nucleotide ribosomal RNA is filed under the name uncultured bacterium. RNAcentral's name for it is "partial 16S ribosomal RNA". It matches the Rfam family "Bacterial small subunit ribosomal RNA", at positions 28 to 508 of the family's 1533-position model. The record is from RNAcentral.
GACGAACGCUGGCGGCGCGCUUAACACAUGCAAGUCGAACGGAAAGGCCUGCUUUCCCUUGUGGAUUGCGGGUACUCGAGUGGCGAACGGGUGAGUAACACGUGAGUGAUCUGCCCCCAACUUGGGUAUAAGCCUGGGAAACUGGGUCUAAUUUCCGAUAGGACUGCAGGGUGGUGCCUGUAGUGGCAAACGAUUUUAUAGUGGGUGGGGAUGAGCUCGCGGCCUAUCAGCUUGUUGGUGGGGUAAUGGCCUACCAAGGCGGGGACGGGUAGCCGGCCUGAGAGGGUGGACGGCCACAUUGGGACUGAGAUACGGCCCAGACUCCUACGGGAGGCAGCAGUGGGGAAUAUUGCACAAUGGGCGGAAGCCUGAUGCAGCGACGCCGCGUGGGGGAUGACGGCCUUCGGGGUGUAAACUCCUUCCGACCGCGAGGAAGCCACCUGGUUGGAAGGGUGGUGACGGUAGUGGUAGAAGAAGCACCGGCUAACUACGUGC